RNAcentral lists this long non-coding RNA (2008 nucleotides) under Ovis aries (sheep). RNAcentral's name for it is "lncRNA (ENSOARG00000025908.1)". Lineage: Eukaryota; Metazoa; Chordata; Mammalia; Artiodactyla; Bovidae. The record is from RNAcentral.
AUGAGACGCGCCCCAGGGAGGGGCCAUCAGACAGGAGGUCACCCUGGGCCCUGCUCAUCAGACGGUAGUGGUGGACAGCACCGCACCCAAGUGUGUUCUGGAACCGGGCUGAGGGGCACUGGGACAGACCCCCUCCACCGCCACUGUGUGACGCAGGUCAGCUCACUUCCCUCUCUGAGCCUCAGCUUCCUCAUUUGCAAAAUGAGACUGGAGACACGCCCUACUAAGCCUGUGAGCCUGCAGCCACUCUGUCCCCCACUUUCCUGCGCACCCUCCCACCCCGCCGGCUCCAAUCCUCCCGGCAGUCGGCAGAGUGGACUGAGGGGCCCUUGGUUCAAGGCCUGGGUCCACCAACCUCCAAGCAACAUGGCCCUGUCCUCUUCUGAAAACCCUCUGCAGCCACCAAGGAAAGGAGAAGGGCGCACAAGGGCCCAGGUGGCCUCCGUGCCAUCCCAGCUUCCUCCUCCGGCCACAAGGACACGAGGCCUGAGGAACGGACGGACAAGCAGAGGGGCACAGCCUUGCCUCCUGUGUCUUGGCUGAACCGCGGUUGCUUCUGCUCCUUUGGCAAAGCCACUCAGGACCACGUCCUUCUUGCUCACAAACCCUGUGGCACCCCAGGGCCGCCCGGCCUGGACCUGAGGCUCCGGCUCACCGCUGCAGGCCUGUCUUCCACCGCUCCUCUCCCCACGCCCCACCUAGCUGCACACUCUCUCCAUCUCCUCGGGCGGCCCCCUCCCUGCUCCCUUCCCCCUCCCCUCUGCCUUCCCCCCCUGCACCCGCCGCGCUGUGGAGGGGUGCCCGGCGGCCCCUGCCGCCAGGCUCCUCUGUCCAUGGGAUUCUCCAGGCAAGAAUACUGGAGUGGGCAGCUGUUUCCUUCUCCAGGGGCUCUUCCCGACCCAGGGAUCGAACCUGCAUCUCUUAUGUCACCUGCAUAGGUAGGCAGGUGCUUUACCCCGAGCGCCACCUGGGAAACUUCGCGUGGUGACGGUCACUAUCUUCUACUGGAAGCCUCCUCUGAGGCCUCCUACCCCAGCCCGGGCACAAGGUGGAUUCUCCCUUGCCCAGGCCCCUGGCACCCUUGGACCUGACAGACCUUCUAGCCCCUACCACCCUCCGUCUGUCUGGGGAAUACCUGGAUGCCGGCAGACUCCUCCCUGUGAGACUGUGAGCUCCCCGGGCCCAGGGGCGGGGUCUGGGUCACCUCCUCCCUGCCCUGGAACCGGAGAUCUGAACGGAGCAAGGACCCGGGGGUGUCGCUGGUGGUGAGUGGACAGCCGGCCGGCCAGACGGACAGGUGGACAGAUGGGUCCCAUGGGGGCGGCGCAUCCCCCCCCUGGGGGGGCCGCGGCUCAUCCCCCUCAUGGUGUGGCCGCCCACUCCUGGGCACGGAACCGCCCUUCUUCCAGGCAGCCCGGAAUGUCGAAGGAUGCCACCUUCCCCCUGCCCCCGUCCCAACUCCAGAGAGCAGGAUGGAAGAUAACACCCUCUGGUUAUGGAGGAGGGGCCUGAGGUCAGGGAGACAAGACAAGCUCAGGACCACACAGGGCAGGAAGCAGCUUCGCUUGGAGCCAAGACAGACCCCAGCUACCUCCAUGCGGCCCCCGCCCCUGCUCCCCCGUCCCGGGGUCUGGUCCUACCGCAUAGCACAGGGUCAGGACUGGGGCAGGGGAUCAUGCCUGGAGCCCGGCAGGCAGCAGCACACCCACAGCCCACCCCUGCCCAGCACAAGCCAGCCAUUCUUGGCAAGACAAAGGCCGGCCGGGGCAGAGCGGCUCUGGUGUCUCCCUGGUGGGUGUCUGGCCCCUGCAGGACGUCAGCAGUGGGGACUGGCAGUGGGGCUCGGCCACCACCGGGGGCUGCAAAUCAGAUUAGCCCCGGCCAGCCCCGGCGCGGCCGUCAGGAAGAAGAGCAGCUGCAGGCUCUGGGCCUGCUGCCCUCACCACGGGCACGCACCCUGCUCCCAAGCGUGGGACGGCCCGAGCUCCCUGUGGGGGUGAGGGCAGCC